This 1372-nucleotide ribosomal RNA is filed under the name uncultured bacterium. RNAcentral describes it as "bacterial SSU rRNA". It matches the Rfam family "Bacterial small subunit ribosomal RNA", at positions 28 to 1381 of the family's 1533-position model. The record is from RNAcentral.
GAUGAACGCUGGCGGCGUGCCUAAUACAUGCAAGUCGAGCGAACGGACGAGAAGCUUGCUUCUCUGAUGUUAGCGGCGGACGGGUGAGUAACACGUGGAUAACCUACCUAUAAGACUGGGAUAACUUCGGGAAACCGGAGCUAAUACCGGAUAAUAUUUUGAACCGCAUGGUUCAAAAGUGAAAGACGGUCUUGCUGUCACUUAUAGAUGGAUCCGCGCUGCAUUAGCUAGUUGGUAAGGUAACGGCUUACCAAGGCAACGAUGCAUAGCCGACCUGAGAGGGUGAUCGGCCACACUGGAACUGAGACACGGUCCAGACUCCUACGGGAGGCAGCAGUAGGGAAUCUUCCGCAAUGGGCGAAAGCCUGACGGAGCAACGCCGCGUGAGUGAUGAAGGUCUUCGGAUCGUAAAACUCUGUUAUUAGGGAAGAACAUAUGUGUAAGUAACUGUGCACAUCUUGACGGUACCUAAUCAGAAAGCCACGGCUAACUACGUGCCAGCAGCCGCGGUAAUACGUAGGUGGCAAGCGUUAUCCGGAAUUAUUGGGCGUAAAGCGCGCGUAGGCGGUUUUUUAAGUCUGAUGUGAAAGCCCACGGCUCAACCGUGGAGGGUCAUUGGAAACUGGAAAACUUGAGUGCAGAAGAGGAAAGUGGAAUUCCAUGUGUAGCGGUGAAAUGCGCAGAGAUAUGGAGGAACACCAGUGGCGAAGGCGACUUUCUGGUCUGUAACUGACGCUGAUGUGCGUAAGCGUGGGGAUCAAACAGGAUUAGAUACCCUGGUAGUCCACGCCGUAAACGAUGAGUGCUAAGUGUUAGGGGGUUUCCGCCCCUUAGUGCUGCAGCUAACGCAUUAAGCACUCCGCCUGGGGAGUACGACCGCAAGGUUGAAACUCAAAGGAAUUGACGGGGACCCGCACAAGCGGUGGAGCAUGUGGUUUAAUUCGAAGCAACGCGAAGAACCUUACCAAAUCUUGACAUCCUUUGACAACUCUAGAGAUAGAGCUUUCCCCUUCGGGGGACAAAGUGACAGGUGGUGCAUGGUUGUCGUCAGCUCGUGUCGUGAGAUGUUGGGUUACGUCCCGCAACGAGCGCAACCCUUAAGCUUAGUUGCCAUCAUUAAGUUGGGCACUCUAAGUUGACUGCCGGUGACAAACCGGAGGAAGGUGGGGAUGACGUCAAAUCAUCAUGCCCCUUAUGAUUUGGGCUACACACGUGCUACAAUGGACAAUACAAAGGGCAGCGAAACCGCGAGGUCAAGCAAAUCCCAUAAAGUUGUUCUCAGUUCGGAUUGUAGUCUGCAACUCGACUACAUGAAGCUGGAAUCGCUAGUAAUCGUAGAUCAGCAUGCUACGGUGAAUACGUUCCCGGGUCU